This 462-nucleotide ribosomal RNA is filed under the name uncultured bacterium. RNAcentral's name for it is "partial 16S ribosomal RNA". It matches the Rfam family "Bacterial small subunit ribosomal RNA", at positions 28 to 507 of the family's 1533-position model. The record is from RNAcentral.
GACGAACGCUGGCGGCGUGCUUAACACAUGCAAGUCGAACGGAAAGGCCCUUCGGGGUACUCGAGUGGCGCACGGGCGGGUAACACGUGGGUGAUCUGCCCUGCACUUUGGGAUAAGCCUGGGAAACUGGGUCUAAUACCGAAUAGGACCACGCGCUUCAUGGUGUGUGGUGGAAAGCUUUUGCGGUGUGGGAUGGGCCCGCGGCCUAUCAGCUUGUGGGUGGGGUAAUGGCUUGCCAAGGCGACGACGGGUAGCCGGCCUGAGAGGGUGACCAGCCACAAUGGGCCUGAGAUAGGCCCCAGAAUCCAAUGGGCGGCAGCGGGGGGAAGUCUUGCACAGUGGGGGCACGCGUGUUACGGCGACCUCGGGUGGGGAAUGACGGCUUUCGGGUUGUAAACCUCUGUGAAUGGAGACGAGGCGGAAGUGACGGUACCUAAAGAAGAAGCACCGGCUAACUACGUG